Molecule: ribosomal RNA, 428 nt
Filed under: uncultured bacterium
Lineage: Bacteria
Description: bacterial SSU rRNA
Rfam family: Bacterial small subunit ribosomal RNA
Source: RNAcentral
GUGGGGAAUAUUGGACAAUGGGGGCAACCCUGAUCCAGCAAUUCUGUGUGCACGAAGACGGUUUUCGGAUUGUAAAGUGCUUUCAGCAGGGAAGAAGGAAGUGACGGUACCUGCAGAAGAAGCGACGGCUAAAUACGUGCCAGCAGCCGCGGUAAUACGUAUGUCGCGAGCGUUAUCCGGAAUUAUUGGGCAUAAAGGGCAUCUAGGCGGCCUAACAAGUCAGGGGUGAAAACCUGCGGCUCAACCGCAGGCUUGCCUUUGAAACUGUAAGGCUGGAGUAUCGGAGAGGUGGACGGAACUGCACGAGUAGAGGUGAAAUUCGUAGAUAUGUGCAGGAAUGCCGAUGAUGAAGAUAGUUCACUGGACGAUAACUGACGCUGAAGUGCGAAAGCCGGGGGAGCAAACAGGAUUAGAAACCCUAGUAGUCC